AUUGAACGCUGGCGGCAGGCUUAACACAUGCAAGUCGAGCGGGGUGAUGGUGCUUGCACUAUCACUUAGCGGCGGACGGGUGAGUAAUGCUUAGGAAUCUGCCUAUUAGUGGGGGACAACAUCUCGAAAGGGAUGCUAAUACCGCAUACGUCCUACGGGAGAAAGCAGGGGAUCACUUGUGACCUUGCGCUAAUAGAUGAGCCUAAGUCGGAUUAGCUAGUUGGUGGGGUAAAGGCCUACCAAGGCGACGAUCUGUAGCGGGUCUGAGAGGAUGAUCCGCCACACUGGGACUGAGACACGGCCCAGACGCCUACGGGAGGCAGCAGUGGGGAAUAUUGGACAAUGGGGGGAACCCUGAUCCAGCCAUGCCGCGUGUGUGAAGAAGGCCUUAUGGUUGUAAAGCACUUUAAGCGAGGAGGAGGCUCUUUUGGUUAAUACCCAAGAUGAGCGGACGUUACUCGCAGAAUAAGCACCGGCUAACUCUGUGCCAGCCGCCGCUGUAA
RNAcentral lists this ribosomal RNA (503 nucleotides) under uncultured bacterium. RNAcentral describes it as "partial 16S ribosomal RNA". It matches the Rfam family "Bacterial small subunit ribosomal RNA", at positions 30 to 523 of the family's 1533-position model. The record is from RNAcentral.